CCUACGGGAGGCAGCAGUGGGGAAUAUUGCACAAUGGGGGAAACCCUGAUGCAGCGACGCCGCGUGAGUGAAGAAGUAUUUCGGUACGUAAAGCUCUAUCAGCAGGGAAGAAAAUGACGGUACCUGACUAAGAAGCCCCGGCUAACUACGUGCCAGCAGCCGCGGUAAUACGUAGGGGGCAAGCGUUAUCCGGAUUUACUGGGUGUAAAGGGAGCGUAGACGGCAGCGCAAGUCUGGAGUGAAAUCCCAUGGCUUAACCAUGGACCUGCUUUGGAAACUGUGCAGCUUGAGUGCAGGAGAGGUAAGCGGAAUUCCUAGUGUAGCGGUGAAAUGCGUAGAUAUUAGGAGGAACACCAGUGGCGAAGGCGGCAUACCGGCGCUCAACUGACGCUCAUGCACGAAAGUGUGGGUAUCGAACAGGAUUAGAUACCCGGGUAGUC
Molecule: ribosomal RNA, 440 nt
Filed under: uncultured bacterium
Lineage: Bacteria
Description: partial 16S ribosomal RNA
Rfam family: Bacterial small subunit ribosomal RNA
Source: RNAcentral